Molecule: ribosomal RNA, 498 nt
Filed under: uncultured bacterium
Lineage: Bacteria
Description: bacterial SSU rRNA
Rfam family: Bacterial small subunit ribosomal RNA
Source: RNAcentral
GACGAACGCUGGCGGCGUGCUUAAAACAUGCAAGUCGAACGGACUUCUCAUGAAGCUUGCGAUUGAGAAGUUAGUGGCGGACGGGUGAGUAACGCGUGGGCAACCUGCCCCUGAGCCCGGGAUAACAGUUCGAAAGGACUGCUAAGACCGGAUAUACUUGCGGUGAAAGCAUUUCACUGUAAGGAAAGGGAACGCUCAGGGAUGGGCCCGCGUCCCAUUAGCUAAGUUGGUGAGGUAACGGCCCACCAAGGCGAACGAUGGGUAGCCGGCCUGAGAGGGUGAACGGCCACACUGGGACUGAGACACGGCCCAGACUCCUACGGGAGCAGCAGUUGGAAUCUUCGGCAAUGGGCCAAGCCUGACCGAGCAAACGCCGCGUGAGUGAUGAAGGUUUUCGGAUUUGUAAAGCUCUGUCGUUCCGGGACGAUAAUGACGGUACCGGAGGAGGAAGCCACGGCGUAACUACGUGCCAGCAGCCGACGGUAAAAAGUGUGUGUA